CCACCAAGGCGACGAUUGGUAGCCGGACUGAGAGGUUGAACGGCCACAUUGGGACUGAGACACGGCCCAGACUCCUACGGGAGGCAGCAGUGGGGGAUAUUGCACAAUGGGGGAAACCCUGAUGCAGCGACGCCGCGUGGAGGAAGAAGGUUUUCGGAUUGUAAACUCCUGUCGUUAGGGACGAUAAUGACGGUACCUAACAAGAAAGCACCGGCUAACUACGUGCCAGCAGCCGCGGUAAAACGUAGGGUGCAAGCGCUGUCCGGAAUUACUGGGUGUAAAGGGAGCGCAGGCGGGAAGACAAGUUGGAAGUGAAAACCAUGGGCUCAACCCAUGAAUUGCUUUCAAAACUGUUUUUCUUGAGUAGUGCAGAGGUAGAUGGAAUUCCCGGUGUAGCGGUGGAAUGCGUAGAUAUCGGGAGGAACACCAGUGGCGAAGGCGGUCUACUGGGCACCAACUGACGCUGAGGCUCGAAAGCAUGGGUAGCAAACAGGAUUAGAUACCCUGGUAGUCCAUGCCGUAAACGAUGAUUACUAGGUGUUGGGGG
This 547-nucleotide ribosomal RNA is filed under the name uncultured bacterium. RNAcentral's name for it is "bacterial SSU rRNA". It matches the Rfam family "Bacterial small subunit ribosomal RNA", at positions 265 to 829 of the family's 1533-position model. The record is from RNAcentral.